Molecule: ribosomal RNA, 440 nt
Filed under: uncultured bacterium
Lineage: Bacteria
Description: partial 16S ribosomal RNA
Rfam family: Bacterial small subunit ribosomal RNA
Source: RNAcentral
CUACGGGUUGCACCAGCAGGGAAUAUUGCACAAUGGACGGAAGUCUGAUGCAGCGACGCCGCGUGGAUGAUGAAGGCCUUCGGGUUGUAAAAUCCUUUUCAGGGAGAAGAGGAAGGACGGUAUCCCUGGAAUAAGCGUCGGCUAACUACGUGCCAGCAGCCGCGGUAAUACGUAGGACGCAAGCGUUAUCCGGAUUUACUGGGCGUAAAGCGUCUGUAGGCGGUUUAGUAAGGUUGAUGUGAAAGCUCCAGGCUCAACUUGGAGAGUGCAUUGAAUACUGCUAGACUUGAGGGGAUCAGAGGAAAGCGGAAUUUCCGGUGUAGCGGUAAAAUGCGCAGAUAUCGGAAAGAACACCAGUGGCGAAGGCGGCUUUCUGGGAUCAACCUGACGCUGAGAGACGAAAGCUAGGGUAGCGAACAGGAUUAGAUACCCGUGUAGUC